RNAcentral lists this ribosomal RNA (497 nucleotides) under uncultured bacterium. RNAcentral's name for it is "partial 16S ribosomal RNA". It matches the Rfam family "Bacterial small subunit ribosomal RNA", at positions 28 to 507 of the family's 1533-position model. The record is from RNAcentral.
GAUGAACGCUGGCGGCGUGCCUAAUACAUGCAAGUCGAGCGAACGGACGAGAAGCUUGCUUUUCUGAUGUUAGCGGCGGACGGGUGAGUAACACGUGGAUAACCUACCUAUAAGACUGGGAUAACUUCGGGAAACCGGAGCUAAUACCGGAUAGUAUUUUGAACCGCAUGGUUCAAAAGUGAAAGACGGUCUUGCUGUCACUUAUAGAUGGAUCCGCGCUGCAUUAGCUAGUUGGUAAGGUAACGGCUUACCAAGGCAACGAUGCAUAGCCGACCUGAGAGGGUGAUCGGCCACACUGGAACUGAGACACGGUCCAGACUCCUACGGGAGGCAGCAGUAGGGAAUCUUCCGCAAUGGGCGAAAGCCUGACGGAGCAACGCCGCGUGAGUGAUGAAGGUCUUCGGAUCGUAAAACUCUGUUAUUAGGGAAGAACAUAUGUGUAAGUAACUGUGCACAUCUUGACGGUACCUAAUCAGAAAGCCACGGCUAACUACGUG